Molecule: long non-coding RNA, 845 nt
Filed under: Spirodela polyrhiza (greater duckweed)
Lineage: Eukaryota; Viridiplantae; Streptophyta; Magnoliopsida; Alismatales; Araceae
Description: long non-coding RNA (SPOL_LNC002459)
Source: RNAcentral
CUUGCGUCGCGACGACGAGAGAGGAUGAGGACCUUCACAGUGUUCCCGAGUGGCUUUGCUCCGCGUGGGCGAUAAGCUCUGCAACUCCACAGAGAGAGAGAGAGAGAGAGAGGAAGAGAGCGGGGGACGUGAGGCGGCCACAGAAAGAUCCAGUCGACUGCUACCCAUGGGAUUUACCUCAAGUAGCGCCUUCUAUGGCGUGCUGUCCCCAGAUUUAGCCCCCUGCCAUGGCCGCAUGGGACAAACUAAUGCGAUUCAGAAGAAGAAGAAGAAGAAAAGGUGAACCCCGACAUGAGACCUCGCGUCGCCCAAGCAAGGGAGGAGAUGGCUCCGCCCGCAUCUGGAUGCGCGAAAACUGGGAUCGGAGGAUGAUUAAACAAGCGCUCCACCCCGCUCGCUCCCACACUGUCCCCCCGAAUAGGCCCCAUCAUCCUCCCCGGGGGGCUGCAGAAUCUGCUAAUCCGUAUCGUUUGUCACGGCCUGCCCAGCAUGUGCCGUCCACCCCGGCGUCCCCCUGCAAUCCGGCUCGCGGGGACGAGGACCACCGGUGGGGGCGCUGCAGCGCCAGUAGGAGAGAAGAAAGAGGGCUGGUGAUGGAGGGUACCUUCGUAGUCUUCUGCCCGAGCACCUCCGUCCCCUCGGGCACCUGCCUUCCCGGCCGAUGAAGCUUCUGCUCCUCCGUGUCUGUACGUGGGUCUUAUGGAUCUGCACAACCCUGUGAAAUCCUUCUUCUUUCAGAUGGAUUACUACUCUGUUCGUGAGCGGCUGCCAACCGCUCUCUUCUUCGUCGAUCUCCCGCUCCCCACUCCCGCCUUCAAGACCAUAUAUUACCUCCCUCCCCACCC